GUUGAACGCUGGCGGCGUGCCUAAUACAUGCAAGUCGAGCGAACAGACGUGGAGCUUGCCCCUCUGACGUUAGCGGCGGACGGGUGAGUAACACGUGGAUCACCUACCUAUAAGUCUGGGAUCACUUCGGGAAACCGGAGCUAAUACCGGAUAAUAUAUUGAACCGCAUGGUUCAAUAGUGAAAGACGGUUUUGCUGUCACUUAUAGAUGGAUCCGCGCCGCAUUAGCUAGUUGGUAAGGUAACGGCUUACCAAGGCAACGAUGCGUAGCAGACCUGAGAGGGUGAUCAGCCACACUGGAACUGAGACACGGUCCAGACUCCUACGGGAGGCAGCAGUAGGGAAUCUUCCGCAAUGGGCGAAAGCCUGACGGAGCAACGCCGCGUGAGUGAUGAAGGUCUUCGGAUCGUAAAACGCUGUUAUUAGGGAAGAGCAAAUGUGUAAGUAACUAUGCACGUCUUGACGGUACCGUAUCAGAAAGCCACGGCUAACUACGUG
RNAcentral lists this ribosomal RNA (497 nucleotides) under uncultured bacterium. Its description in RNAcentral is "partial 16S ribosomal RNA". It matches the Rfam family "Bacterial small subunit ribosomal RNA", at positions 28 to 507 of the family's 1533-position model. The record is from RNAcentral.